This 1380-nucleotide long non-coding RNA is filed under the name Gossypium raimondii (Peruvian cotton). RNAcentral's name for it is "long non-coding RNA (GRAI_LNC002879)". The record is from RNAcentral. Lineage: Eukaryota; Viridiplantae; Streptophyta; Magnoliopsida; Malvales; Malvaceae.
UACCAAUCUUUUAUGAUGGAAAUCUCUCUAAACCCUGGCGAUAACAUUUCUCAUCAAGAAAUUGAGGAUGGUGAUGGUUCUCGGAUAGAUGUAGAUCGUAAUAGAAAGAAAGUUCGUUUCAAAUAGGGUAAUGGUGAGGAAAUCACUAAUAUGAUGGUUGAAUCUGGUCCGAGUCAAAUUUUAUCUUGGAAGGAUAAACUUCUGGGGAAUAAUUCUGGAGCGUCUGAUAAGUUGAGGUUGGAUAAUUCUGGUGCUAGUGGUAAUGAAGAUUUGGAAUUUUUGGAAGGAGAUAUUCACAGAUCCAUUGUUAAUGGAAUACCUAUUAUUGAUUUCUCAGAGAGGAUCUAACAAUAUUGGGUAUGGGGCUUUAAAUAAUCGAAUCAAUAGUUUAUGGAAUCCCUCCAAGCCUUUCCAUCUCAUGGACAUAGAGAAUGGAUACUUUCUGGCUAAAUUUCAGUCCACCGAAGACUAUGCAAAAGUUCUUCGCAAGGUCCUUAGCUAAUUUAUGGUCAAUAUCUGACUGUUCAACCUUGGACCAAAGAAUUCAACCCCUUACAACCAUACCCAAGCAUGGUGAUGGCUUGUAUACGGUUACUAGGCCUCCCAGGGUUUCUGUACAAAAGGAAAAUUCUUGAAGAAAUAAGAGAGACCAUAGGAAAGGUUGUUCGGUUAGAUUUCAAUACUAAUAGUAGAAUUAGAGGCCACUUCGCCAAGAUGGUUGUUUAUGUCAACCUGGACAAGCCUCUGGUCGCUCAAGUUCUUAUGAGUGGUUUACAUCAGAAAGUUGAGCAUGAAGCGCUGCCUAUGAUUUGCUUCACCUGCGGGAAGUACGGACAUGCUAAGGAGCUAUGUGCUUCGCCACAACCGGAUCUGGCAGUGGGGAAGGAUCAGAAGGGUACUAAUCUGACAGAGGCUGUAAGCAGAGGAGAAGGUGCUGUUUACGGGCCAUGGAUUAUGGUUGAAAGGAAAGGAAGGUGUAGUUCUAGGAACAACAAUAUUAAAAAAACUGAUUUUACGGAGAAAGGAAAAUUGGGUUCUCGAUUUGAUGCUCUGGCUAAUAUGGAAGUUUUGCUUGAUCUAAAAGAUGAGUUAAAUAAGGAAGAUACUGGAAAGUUGGCUGGUUUUAAGAAUAAAUUGAAGGUUGGAGAGAAUGUUAUGUAACAGGGGUUUAAGACACAGGGCAACCCUAAGUCAACAAGGACAUAGAGAAUGGAUACUUUCUGGCUAAAUUUCAGUCCACCGAAGACUAUGCAAAAGUUCUUCGCAAGGUCCUUAGCUAAUUUAUGGUCAAUAUCUGACUGUUCAACCUUGGACCAAAGAAUUCAACCCCUUACAACCAUACCCAAGCAUGGUGAUGGCUUGUAUACGGUUACUAGGCCU